UACAGAGGUCUCAAGCGUUGUUCGGAUUCAUUGGGCGUAAAGGGUGCGUAGGCGGCGCGGUAAGUCGGAUGUGAAAUCUCGGAGCUUAACUCCGAAACUGCAUUCGAUACUGCCGUGCUUGAGGACUGGAGAGGAGACUGGAAUUUACGGUGUAGCGGUGAAAUGCGUAGAUAUCGUAAGGAAGACCAGUGGCGAAGGCGGGUCUCUGGACAGGUACUGACACUCAACUACGAAAGCGUGGGGAGCAAACAGG
RNAcentral lists this ribosomal RNA (253 nucleotides) under uncultured bacterium. RNAcentral's name for it is "partial 16S ribosomal RNA". It matches the Rfam family "Bacterial small subunit ribosomal RNA", at positions 524 to 776 of the family's 1533-position model. The record is from RNAcentral.